RNAcentral lists this ribosomal RNA (397 nucleotides) under uncultured bacterium. RNAcentral describes it as "bacterial SSU rRNA". It matches the Rfam family "Bacterial small subunit ribosomal RNA", at positions 362 to 776 of the family's 1533-position model. The record is from RNAcentral.
UAUUGCACAAUGGGGGGAACCCUGAUGCAGCGACGCCGCGCGGGUGAAGAAGCGCCUCGGCGCGUAAAGCCCUGUCAGCAGGGAAGAAAAUGACGGUCCCUGAAGAACAAGCCCCGGCUAACUACGUGCCCCCAGCCGCGGUAAUACGUAGGGGGCAAGCGUUAUCCGGAUUUACUGGGUGUAAAGGGGGCGCAGACGGCGAUGCAAGCCAGGAGUGAAAGCCCGGGGCCCAACCCCGGGACUGCUCUUGGAACUGCGUGGCUGGAGUGCAGGAGGGGCAGGCGGAAUUCCUGGUGUAGCGGUGAAAUGCGUAGAUAUCAGGAGGGACACCGGUGGCGAAGGCGGCCUGCUGGACUGCAACUGACGUUGAGGCCCGAAAGCGUGGGGAGCAAACAGG